Molecule: ribosomal RNA, 460 nt
Filed under: uncultured bacterium
Lineage: Bacteria
Description: partial 16S ribosomal RNA
Rfam family: Bacterial small subunit ribosomal RNA
Source: RNAcentral
CCUACGGGAGGCAGCAGUGAGGAAUAUUGGUCAAUGGACGAGAGUCUGAACCAGCCAUGUAGCGUGAAGGAUGACUGCCCUCUGGGUUGUAAACUUCUUUUAUAAAGGGAUAAAACGAGGCACGUGUGCCUUUUUGCAUGUACUUUAUGAAUAAGGAUCGGCUAACUCCGUGCCAGCAGCCGCGGUAAUACGGAGGAUCCGAGCGUUAUCCGGAUUUAUUGGGUUUAAAGGGAGCGUAGAUGGGUUGUUAAGUCAGUUGUGAAAGUUUGCGGCUCAACCGGAAAAUUGCAAUUGAUACUGGCAGGCUUGAGUACAGUAGAGGUAGGCAGAAUUCGUGGUGGAGCGGUGAAAUGCUUAGAGAUCACGAAGAACCCCGAUGGCGAAGGCAGCUUACUAAACUGUGACUGACAUUGAUGCUCGAAAGUGUGGGUAUCAAACAGGAGUAGAUACCCUUGUAGUC